RNAcentral lists this ribosomal RNA (469 nucleotides) under uncultured bacterium. RNAcentral describes it as "partial 16S ribosomal RNA". It matches the Rfam family "Bacterial small subunit ribosomal RNA", at positions 28 to 507 of the family's 1533-position model. The record is from RNAcentral.
GACGAACGCUGGCGGCGUGCUUAACACAUGCAAGUCGAACGGAAAGGCCCUGCUUUUGUGGGGUGCUCGAGUGGCGAACGGGUGAGUAACACGUGAGUAACCUGCCCUUGACUUUGGGAUAACUUCAGGAAACUGGGGCUAAUACCGGAUAGGAGCUCCUGCUGCAUGGUGGGGGUUGGAAAGUUUCGGCGGUUGGGGAUGGACUCGCGGCUUAUCAGCUUGUUGGUGGGGGAGUGGCUUACCAAGGCUUUGGCGGGUAGCCGGCCUGAGAGGGUGACCGGCGACAUUGAGACUGAGAUACGGCCCAGACUCCUACGGGAGGCAGCAGUGGGGAAUAUUGCACAAUGGGCGGAAGCCGGAUGCAGCAAGGCCGCGUGCGGGAUGACGGCCUUCGGGUUGUAGACCGCUUUCAGCAGGGACGAAGCUUUUUGUGACGGUACCUGCAGAAGAAGCACCGGCUAACUACGUG